UACGAAGGGGGCUAGCGUUGUUCGGAAUUACUGGGCGUAAAGGGCGCGUAGGCGGUGUGUCAAGUCAGGCGUGAAAGCCCCGGGCUCAACCUGGGAACAGCGCUUGAGACUGGCACGCUCGAGUUCGGGAGAGGAUGGUGGAAUUCCCAGUGUAGAGGUGAAAUUCGUAGAUAUUGGGAAGAACACCGAUGGCGAAGGCAGCCAUCUGGACCGACACUGACGCUGAGGCGCGAAAAGCGUGGGGAGCAAACAGGG
This 255-nucleotide ribosomal RNA is filed under the name uncultured bacterium. Its description in RNAcentral is "partial 16S ribosomal RNA". It matches the Rfam family "Bacterial small subunit ribosomal RNA", at positions 524 to 777 of the family's 1533-position model. The record is from RNAcentral.